CAACCCAUGCAAAAACCUGUCAUCUAUUGCUAGGAGUGAGAUGGCACUUAUAUAUGCUUUCUUCGUUUUGUCACUGGUGAAAAGGACCCUUGGGAUGCUUGUUUAUAUGCUUUUUGCUUACGCAAUCAUGAAGAGAAGUGCGACUCUGGAGUCAGUAUUAGCUGUCACUUCCUGUCAAGUCAUCGACGAGCAUUUAGCGGUGACAAGACCACAUAUCUCAGAGCUCUAUACUUGUGUUAUUUCCCCAGUGAGAGGCAGGUGAAUUUAAUCAAAUUAAGUCUCAGAAUUUCCUCGUCUUUAAAGCGACAGCCUCUCACAAGCUUUACAUGAGCUCCUGGAGUGUUUGAGAGGUAAAUUAUUUGUUUUUGUUUUUUUGUCUAGGAAAUAGAAAUGCAUUAAAAUUUUCCUUCUAUGUUAUCCACUUUAAUCUCCCUAUUUCACAGUUUACACGCUUGUGGAUCUUACAAGCCAAUUGAAAUGGGGAUAUUGGAACUGCAAGCAAAUAUUUUUCAGAGGAAAAUUGUGACUCAUCAAAAUGCUCCACAAACAACAUCCUGUUUACAGCAGUCAGCACAGACAGACACACGUCUCAGUGAAACGGCGGGAGCGCGGCUGGUAAUUAUCUCCAUAGGAGUGCUGGGAGCCAUCUCCUCAUCAUCUCCUGGUGCCAGGAGCGCGGGAGGAUUACUCCCUCCUCUGCUUCCCAUCAAGCCAAUAUCUACACGGGACGAGAGGAGUUGAGCGGCAUCUACGCGGACCCCGGGGUAUGAGAUGGUGAACUGUGUCUCAGUGGCUCUUUAAAGCUCCUUUCCACGGCUGAAUGAGCACAUGGCGUUUCAUUGUCCCGGCCUCCGAUCGUCAUAAAUCCACUCGUAUCUCUGGAGAGCAGCCAGGAAUGCCGCACUUCUCACUUUAGCCCGGCACAGGCCAUUAUAUCCGAUAUGAAUGUACACGACCUAAAGAUGCCAUGAAUACAAUAGACGGGGGAAAAGACAGCAUGGUGCCCUGAGGCGAUGGAGCCCAAGUCGGGUCUGAGCUCAAUAAACUGAGCCCACCUGCUGUCUAAAGGAUAUGA
Long non-coding RNA from Cyprinus carpio (common carp), 1075 nucleotides. NCBI's taxonomy places the organism in Eukaryota, Metazoa, Chordata, Actinopteri, Cypriniformes, Cyprinidae. The record is from Ensembl.